CUCGUAGGCGGUUCGUCGCGUCCGGUGUGAAAGUCCAUCGCCUAACGGUGGAUCUGCGCCGGGUACGGGCGGGCUGGAGUGCGGUAGGGGAGACUGGAAUUCCCGGUGUAACGGUGGAAUGUGUAGAUAUCGGGAAGAACACCGAUGGCGAAGGCAGGUCUCUGGGCCGUUACUGACGCUGAGGAGCGAAAGCGUGGGGAGCGAACA
This 207-nucleotide ribosomal RNA is filed under the name uncultured bacterium. RNAcentral's name for it is "partial 16S ribosomal RNA". It matches the Rfam family "Bacterial small subunit ribosomal RNA", at positions 568 to 774 of the family's 1533-position model. The record is from RNAcentral.